UACAGAGGUCUCAAGCGUUGUUCGGAUUCAUUGGGCGUAAAGGGUGCGUAGGCGGCGCGGUAAGUCGGGUGUGAAAUCUCGGGGCUUAACUCCGAAACUGCAUUCGAUACUACCGUGCUUGAGGACUGGAGAGGAGACUGGAAUUUACGGUGUAGCGGUGAAAUGCGUAGAUAUCGUAAGGAAGACCAGUGGCGAAGGCGGGUCUCUGGACAGUGACUGACGCUGAGACGCGAAAGCGUGGGGAGCAAACAGG
This 253-nucleotide ribosomal RNA is filed under the name uncultured bacterium. RNAcentral describes it as "partial 16S ribosomal RNA". It matches the Rfam family "Bacterial small subunit ribosomal RNA", at positions 524 to 776 of the family's 1533-position model. The record is from RNAcentral.